GGGCAUUUGGUCUAGUUGGUUAUGACAUCGCCUUUACGAGGCGGAGAUCCCUGGUUCAAGUCCAGGAAUGCCCA
This 74-nucleotide transfer RNA is filed under the name Candidatus Altarchaeales archaeon WOR_SM1_SCG. RNAcentral describes it as "Candidatus Altiarchaeales archaeon WOR_SM1_SCG tRNA". It matches the Rfam family "tRNA". From Rfam's summary of the family: Transfer RNA (tRNA) molecules are approximately 80 nucleotides in length. Lineage: Archaea; Nanobdellati; Candidatus Altarchaeota; Candidatus Altarchaeia; Candidatus Altarchaeales. The record is from Rfam by way of RNAcentral.